GUGCAGAUACAGGGAUAAAGGGAUAAGCUGUAGAUGCCAGUCUCAGGAAACAUCACAAAUAGAGUGGACCCUCCCCAGUUGUGAGGGGAAGGAGAUAUUUUCGUUGAGGUAUUUAAGAUUUUAGAGGGACAGUAAGGUUAAAGACAAGCCGUUAUAAACCUUUGACUCAUCUCUAAAACAUCAAGUGAAAGUGAAGUCGCUCAGUCGUGUCCGACUCUUUGUGACCCCAUGGACGGUAACCUACCAGGCUCCGCGGUCCAUGGGAUUUUCCAGGGAUAGCUGUCCACAGCACAUGCCACCAGGCCCUUCACACAGAGAUCACUUCCUCCUCCUUGCAGUUGAAGGAGCACCAUUUUAAGGUAAAGGAGGGCUGAGAGGAGCUACUCCACGUUCAAGGUCAGGAGGGGCGGCCAUGAGGAGAUACCCCUAAUCCAAGGGGAUCUUCCCGACCCAGGGAUUGAACCUGCCUCUCCACCACUAGCAGGCGGAUUCUUUUUCUACUGAGCCACCAGGGAAGCCCAAGAAUGGAAAGUACCUCUGGGUUUAUUUUUCGAAUUCUAGUCGUAGGAGGGCGUCUGUCUUUGCUAUGGCCCUCUGGUCUAGCUGCCCUUGGCGCCGCAGUGCAACAGAAGGGGUCAGGCCACUGGCCACUUCUGCCUUUUUGGUAACCCCCCUGGGGGUGAUGGCGCUUUAUCCCCAGCAGCAGGCACCUGGAUCAGCGGCUACUGAGCAGAUCACAGCUCAGGCCCCUGU
Bos taurus (domestic cattle) is the source of this 753-nucleotide long non-coding RNA. The record is from Ensembl. NCBI's taxonomy places the organism in Eukaryota, Metazoa, Chordata, Mammalia, Artiodactyla, Bovidae.